This 497-nucleotide ribosomal RNA is filed under the name uncultured bacterium. RNAcentral's name for it is "partial 16S ribosomal RNA". It matches the Rfam family "Bacterial small subunit ribosomal RNA", at positions 28 to 507 of the family's 1533-position model. The record is from RNAcentral.
GAUGAACGCUGGCGGCGUGCCUAAUACAUGCAAGUCGAGCGAACGGACGAGAAGCUUGCUUCUCUGAUGUUAGCGGCGGACGGGUGAGUAACACGUGGAUAACCUACCUAUAAGACUGGGAUAACUUCGGGAAACCGGAGCUAAUACCGGAUAAUAUUUUGAACCGCAUGGUUCAAAAGUGAAAGACGGUCUUGCUGUCACUUAUAGCUGGAUCCGCGCUGCAUUAUCUAGUUGGUAAGGUAACGGCUUACCAAGGCAACGAUGCAUAGCCGACCUGAGAGGGUGAUAGGCCACACGGGAACUGAGACACGGUCCAGACGCCUACGGGAGGCAGCAGUAGGGAAUCUUCCGCAAUGGGCGAAAGCCUGACGGAGCAACGCCGCGUGAGUGAUGAAGGUCUUCGGAUCGUAAAACUCUGUUAUUAGGGAAGAACAGAUGUGUAAGUAACUGUGCACAUCUUGACGGUACCUAAUCAGAAAGCCACGGCUAACUACGUG